CCCUUAGACGUUCUGGGCCGCACGCGCGCUACACUGACCAGAGCAACAAGCAUCCGUCCUUGGCCGACAGGCCCGGGCAAUCUUUGAACGCUGGUCGUGAUGGGGAUAGACUUUUGCAAUUUUUGGUCUUCAACGAGGAAUUCCUAGUAAACGCAAGUCAUCAACUUGCAUUGAUUACGUCCCUGCCCUUUGUACACACCGCCCGUCGCACCUACCGAUUGAAUGGUCCGGUGAAGCCUCCGGAUUGGCGCGCACCUCGGUGCCGCCGAGAAGUUGGCUAAACCUUACCAUUUAGAGGAAGGUGAAGUCGUAACA
This 315-nucleotide ribosomal RNA is filed under the name uncultured eukaryote. Its description in RNAcentral is "partial 18S ribosomal RNA". It matches the Rfam family "Eukaryotic small subunit ribosomal RNA", at positions 1470 to 1796 of the family's 1831-position model. The record is from RNAcentral.